CCUACGGGUAGCAGCAGUGAGGAAUAUUGGUCAAUGGCCGGAAGGCUGAACCAGCCAAGCCGCGUGAAGGACGAAAGUGCCAAGCAUUGUAAACUUCUUUUGUCAAGGGACAAAAUCAGGCUCGAGAGCCUGUCCGUGGGUACUUGAAGAAAAAGCAUCGGCUAACUCCGUGCCAGCAGCCGCGGUAAUACGGAGGAUGCGAGGGUUAUCCGGAUUUAUUGGGUUUAAAGGGUGCGUAGGCGGGUCGUUAAGUCAGCGGUAAAAGCCCGGGGCUCAACCCUGGCGAGCCGUUGAAACUGGGUGUCUUGAGUUUGCGAGAGGUAUGUGGAAUGCGCGGUGUAGCGGUGAAAUGCUUAGAUAUUGCGCAGAACUCCGAUUGCGAAGGCAGCAUACCGGCGG
RNAcentral lists this ribosomal RNA (399 nucleotides) under uncultured bacterium. RNAcentral describes it as "partial 16S ribosomal RNA". It matches the Rfam family "Bacterial small subunit ribosomal RNA", at positions 338 to 735 of the family's 1533-position model. The record is from RNAcentral.